RNAcentral lists this non-coding RNA (30 nucleotides) under Callithrix jacchus (white-tufted-ear marmoset). The record is from RNAcentral. Lineage: Eukaryota; Metazoa; Chordata; Mammalia; Primates; Cebidae. RNAcentral also lists the same sequence under 1 other name.
UGAUGGUUGUGUCUGAUGUGGCUGACAUGU